Molecule: transfer RNA, 81 nt
Filed under: Scenedesmus sp. NREL 46B-D3
Lineage: Eukaryota; Viridiplantae; Chlorophyta; Chlorophyceae; Sphaeropleales; Scenedesmaceae
Rfam family: tRNA
About the family: Transfer RNA (tRNA) molecules are approximately 80 nucleotides in length.
Source: Rfam by way of RNAcentral
GCACUGAUGGCCGAGUGGUUAAGGCGCCAGACUCGAAAUCUGGUGGGGUCCCCCGCGUAGGUUCAAAUCCUGCUCAGUGCG